RNAcentral lists this ribosomal RNA (1199 nucleotides) under Hydrogenoanaerobacterium saccharovorans. RNAcentral describes it as "partial 23S ribosomal RNA". It matches the Rfam family "Bacterial large subunit ribosomal RNA", at positions 1 to 1206 of the family's 2925-position model. Lineage: Bacteria; Bacillati; Bacillota; Clostridia; Eubacteriales; Oscillospiraceae. The record is from RNAcentral.
AUAAGGUCAAGCUAAAAAGAGCGCAGGGUGAAUGCCUUGGCACUGGGAGCCGAUGAAGGACGCGAUAAGCUGCGAAAAGCUGCGGGGAUCAGCAAGUAUGAAAUGAUCCGCAGAUGUCCGAAUGGAGCAAUCCGCCGGAAUAAAGCUCCGGCAUCAUACACUGAAUUCAUAGGUGUAUGAGGGGAACCGCCUGAACUGAAACAUCUAAGUAGGGCGAGGAAGAGAAAUCAACCGAGAUUCCGCUAGUAGUGGCGAGCGAACGCGGAAGAGGCUAAACCAAUAGUAGAAAUACCAUUGGGGUUUCGGACUGUACAAGGUAUCUUAAGAUCUAAUCGAAGUGUGUGGGAAAGCAUACCGGAGAGCGUGAGAGUCGCGUAGAUGAAAGAUCGAGAGAGCCGACAGGAUCCAAAGUACCACGGGACACGAGGAAUCCCGUGGGAAGACGGGGGGACCACCCUCCAAGCCUAAAUACUACCCAGUGACCGAUAGCGUAUAGUACUGUGAAGGAACGGUGAAAAGAACCCCGGGAGGGGAGUGAAAAAGAACCUGAAACCCUGUGCUUACAAGCACAUAGAGCACGUCAAAGUGUGAUAUGGUACUUUUUGUAGAACGGUCCGGCGAGCGUAUGUAAGGAGCAAGGUUAAGCACUUCUGGUGCGGAGCCAAAGGGAAACCGAGUCUGAAUAGGGCGAUCAGUUGCUUGCAUAGGGCCCGAAACCGGGUGACCUAUCCAUGUCCAGGUUGAAGUGGGAGUAAAAUCCCAUGGAGGACCGAACCGACCCCCGUUGAAAUGGUGGCGGAUGAGGUGUGGAUAGCGGAGAAAUUCCAAUCGAACUCGGAGAUAGCUGGUUCUCCCCGAAAUAGCUUUAGGGCUAGCGUUGUGAAUGAUUACCGGAGGUAAAGCACUGAAUGAUGGAGGGGCCGAGAGGUUACCAAAAUCUAUCAAACUAAGAAUGCCGGAUAAUUGAAUCACAGCAGUCAGACAGUGUGAGAUAAGUCUCAUUGUCAAAAGGGAAAAAGCCCAGACCCACAGCUAAGGUCCCAAAGGAAUGUUAAGUGGAGAAGGAUGUGGAGUUGCGAAAACAACCAGGAUGUUGGCUUAGAAGCAGCCACUCAUUUAAAGAGUGCGUAAUAGCUCACUGGUCGAGUGACUCUGCGCCGAAAAUGUAACGGGGCUAAACAUGACACCGAAGCUUGGGA